GGACGAGGAGGGGCGACGACGAGCUGCGAGCAAAGAUGUGCCCCGGGACCCCCGGCACCUUCCAGUGGAUUUCCUUGCGGAAAGGAUGUUGGCGGUCCCUGUGACCUGUGGAGACACGGCCAGAUCUGCCCUCCAGAUUUAUUAGGAGAAAAACCUUCCCGGAAGCUGCAGAAGGACAAAUACAGAAUCCGUGUCUGGGAGAAACCUCGUGGCCUGGUCUCCAUUAUUUGAGAUGAGUUACAUCUUGGAGGCCUGAUCUUUUGGCCAGAAGGAGAUUAAAAAGAUGCCCCUCAAGAUGGCUGUGCCUGUCAGCUGCAUGGAGCUUCGUUCAAGUAUUUUCUGAGCCUGAUGGAUUUACAGUGAUCUUCAGUGGUCUGGGGAAUAACGCUGGUGGAACCAUGCACUGGAAUGACACACGCCCGGCACAUUUCAGGAUACUAAAAGUGGUUUUAAGGGAGGCUGUGGCUGAAUGCCUCAUGGAUUCUUACAGCUUGGAUGUCCAUGGGGGACGAAGGACUGCAGCUGGCUGAGAGGGUUGAGAUCUCUGUUUACUUAGAUCUCUGCCAACUUCCUUUGGGUCUCCCUAUGGAAUGUAAGACCCCGACUCUUCCUGGUGAAGCAUCUGAUGCACGUUCCAUCCGGCGCUCAGCUGGGCUUGAGGACUUCGCAGGUGAGCAGUAACGGAAAUCAGCCCCGUUUAUUCCUCCCAGCACCUGCCUUAUCCAACUCCCCACGCUGUGGCUGAGUCCCAGCCUGCUAUGGAAGCAUCACUGGACUCCCAUUGAACUCUGUGCAGAUUCGCUGUUCGUAGACAUGGUACCUGAUGGACACCAAGCUACGUACAGCUUCAAGGCCCCUUCUUUCUUUGCUAAUAAAAAAUAAAAAAUAAAAACAUAA
Molecule: long non-coding RNA, 897 nt
Filed under: Homo sapiens (human)
Lineage: Eukaryota; Metazoa; Chordata; Mammalia; Primates; Hominidae
Description: HSALNT0350070
Rfam family: Pvt1 oncogene conserved region 3 (bases 288-382)
Source: RNAcentral